This 629-nucleotide ribosomal RNA is filed under the name Pseudomonas sp. RNAcentral describes it as "bacterial SSU rRNA". It matches the Rfam family "Bacterial small subunit ribosomal RNA", at positions 115 to 740 of the family's 1533-position model. The record is from RNAcentral. Lineage: Bacteria; Pseudomonadati; Pseudomonadota; Gammaproteobacteria; Pseudomonadales; Pseudomonadaceae.
GCCUAGGAAUCUGCCUGGUAGUGGGGGAUAACGCUCGGAAACGGACGCUAAUACCGCAUACGUCCUACGGGAGAAAGCAGGGGACCUUCGGGCCUUGCGCUAUCAGAUGAGCCUAGGUCGGAUUAGCUAGUUGGUGGGGUAAUGGCUCACCAAGGCGACGAUCCGUAACUGGUCUGAGAGGAUGAUCAGUCACACUGGAACUGAGACACGGUCCAGACUCCUACGGGAGGCAGCAGUGGGGAAUAUUGGACAAUGGGCGAAAGCCUGAUCCAGCCAUGCCGCGUGUGUGAAGAAGGUCUUCGGAUUGUAAAGCACUUUAAGUUGGGAGGAAGGGCAUUAACCUAAUACGUUAGUGUUUUGACGUUACCGACAGAAUAAGCACCGGCUAACUCUGUGCCAGCAGCCGCGGUAAUACAGAGGGUGCAAGCGUUAAUCGGAAUUACUGGGCGUAAAGCGCGCGUAGGUGGUUCGUUAAGUUGGAUGUGAAAUCCCCGGGCUCAACCUGGGAACUGCAUUCAAAACUGUCGAGCUAGAGUAUGGUAGAGGGUGGUGGAAUUUCCUGUGUAGCGGUGAAAUGCGUAGAUAUAGGAAGGAACACCAGUGGCGAAGGCGACCACCUGGACUGAUAC